This 446-nucleotide ribosomal RNA is filed under the name uncultured bacterium. RNAcentral describes it as "partial 16S ribosomal RNA". It matches the Rfam family "Bacterial small subunit ribosomal RNA", at positions 338 to 795 of the family's 1533-position model. The record is from RNAcentral.
CCUACGGGUGGCAGCAGUCGAGAAUCAUUCACAAUGGGGGAAACCCUGAUGGGGCGACGCCGCGUGGGGGAAUGAAGGUCUGCGGAUUGUAAACCCCUGUCAUGUGGGAGCAAAUUAAAAAGAUAGUACCACAAGAGGAAGAGACGGCUAACUCUGUGCCAGCAGCCGCGGUAAUACAGAGGUCUCAAGCGUGGUUCGGAAUCACUGGGCGUAAAGCGUGCGUAGGCUGUUUCGUAAGUCGGGUGUGAAAGGCGCGGGCUCAACCCGCGGACGGCACAUGAUACUGCGAGACUAGAGUAAAUGAGGGGGAAGCCGAAUUUCUGGUGUAGCCGGGAAAUGCGUAGAUAUCGAGAGGAACACUCGUGGCGAAGGCGGGUUCCUGGACAUUAACUGACGCUGAGGCACGAAGGCCAGGGGAGCGAAAGGGAUUAGAUACCCCAGUAGUC